GGUAACAACUGAUCGAAGAUGUGAAAGAGGUGAGGAAGUAAACCAUAUGAAACAUGGCGGAAAUAUCUCAGGUAAAGAGAACAAGCGUAAAAAGGCCUGAUGCAGGAGUCCACCUGGAUGUUCAAGAAACAGCAACAAGCCCUGAAACAGAACCCCAGAAGGAGCACAGCCUGGCCAACAACUUGAUUUUAGCCCAGGGAGCCUGACCUCGGACUUCUGACCACCAGGACUAUAAGGAAAGAUAGCUCUUUGGGAAUAUCCAAUAAAGACUUGAUGAACAGAGGAAAAAGCAGGAGCUUCAGCAUUCUACAGUGAAUCAAAGAGAGCCCUUGCUGUGAAGUGACUGAACAAAAAGAGUAUAAACUCC
Molecule: long non-coding RNA, 367 nt
Organism: Bubalus bubalis (water buffalo)
Lineage: Eukaryota; Metazoa; Chordata; Mammalia; Artiodactyla; Bovidae
Exons: 3
Source: RefSeq, a predicted model, not a curated record